This 1533-nucleotide ribosomal RNA is filed under the name Staphylococcus aureus. RNAcentral describes it as "partial 16S ribosomal RNA". It matches the Rfam family "Bacterial small subunit ribosomal RNA". The record is from RNAcentral. RNAcentral also lists the same sequence under 1 other name. Lineage: Bacteria; Bacillati; Bacillota; Bacilli; Caryophanales; Staphylococcaceae.
UGGCUCAGGAUGAACGCUGGCGGCGUGCCUAAUACAUGCAAGUCGAGCGAACGGACGAGAAGCUUGCUUCUCUGAUGUUAGCGGCGGACGGGUGAGUAACACGUGGAUAACCUACCUAUAAGACUGGGAUAACUUCGGGAAACCGGAGCUAAUACCGGAUAAUAUUUUGAACCGCAUGGUUCAAAAGUGAAAGACGGUCUUGCUGUCACUUAUAGAUGGAUCCGCGCUGCAUUAGCUAGUUGGUAAGGUAACGGCUUACCAAGGCAACGAUGCAUAGCCGACCUGAGAGGGUGAUCGGCCACACUGGAACUGAGACACGGUCCAGACUCCUACGGGAGGCAGCAGUAGGGAAUCUUCCGCAAUGGGCGAAAGCCUGACGGAGCAACGCCGCGUGAGUGAUGAAGGUCUUCGGAUCGUAAAACUCUGUUAUUAGGGAAGAACAUAUGUGUAAGUAACUGUGCACAUCUUGACGGUACCUAAUCAGAAAGCCACGGCUAACUACGUGCCAGCAGCCGCGGUAAUACGUAGGUGGCAAGCGUUAUCCGGAAUUAUUGGGCGUAAAGCGCGCGUAGGCGGUUUUUUAAGUCUGAUGUGAAAGCCCACGGCUCAACCGUGGAGGGUCAUUGGAAACUGGAAAACUUGAGUGCAGAAGAGGAAAGUGGAAUUCCAUGUGUAGCGGUGAAAUGCGCAGAGAUAUGGAGGAACACCAGUGGCGAAGGCGACUUUCUGGUCUGUAACUGACGCUGAUGUGCGAAAGCGUGGGGAUCAAACAGGAUUAGAUACCCUGGUAGUCCACGCCGUAAACGAUGAGUGCUAAGUGUUAGGGGGUUUCCGCCCCUUAGUGCUGCAGCUAACGCAUUAAGCACUCCGCCUGGGGAGUACGACCGCAAGGUUGAAACUCAAAGGAAUUGACGGGGACCCGCACAAGCGGUGGAGCAUGUGGUUUAAUUCGAAGCAACGCGAAGAACCUUACCAAAUCUUGACAUCCUUUGACAACUCUAGAGAUAGAGCCUUCCCCUUCGGGGGACAAAGUGACAGGUGGUGCAUGGUUGUCGUCAGCUCGUGUCGUGAGAUGUUGGGUUAAGUCCCGCAACGAGCGCAACCCUUAAGCUUAGUUGCCAUCAUUAAGUUGGGCACUCUAAGUUGACUGCCGGUGACAAACCGGAGGAAGGUGGGGAUGACGUCAAAUCAUCAUGCCCCUUAUGAUUUGGGCUACACACGUGCUACAAUGGACAAUACAAAGGGCAGCGAAACCGCGAGGUCAAGCAAAUCCCAUAAAGUUGUUCUCAGUUCGGAUUGUAGUCUGCAACUCGACUACAUGAAGCUGGAAUCGCUAGUAAUCGUAGAUCAGCAUGCUACGGUGAAUACGUUCCCGGGUCUUGUACACACCGCCCGUCACACCACGAGAGUUUGUAACACCCGAAGCCGGUGGAGUAACCUUUUAGGAGCUAGCCGUCGAAGGUGGGACAAAUGAUUGGGGUGAAGUCGUAACAAGGUAGCCGUAUCGGAAGGUGCGGCUGGAUCACCUCCUUU